Mastomys coucha (southern multimammate mouse) is the source of this 676-nucleotide long non-coding RNA. RefSeq lists it as uncharacterized. The transcript is spliced from 4 exons. The record is from RefSeq and is a predicted model, not a curated record. NCBI's taxonomy places the organism in Eukaryota, Metazoa, Chordata, Mammalia, Rodentia, Muridae.
AGAGGUGGCCACCCCUCAGUCAUCUGGUCUGUGAAUGGGUAUUUAUUGAGCAUCCACAUGGUGCCAUAGGAAUCAGAAUUUAGUGUUCCCGAGUCACCUGGAAGAUAAUGCUCUUGGAGGGAGGGACUUGGGUAGUCCUAGAUAUAGUUAAUAGGCAACAUAGUGCCAAGCAUUUAUUAUAGGGUCUGGAGUGCAGCAUCGUGGCUGUCUGCAGCCACACACGAAUGGGUCUUCUGGAAUGGGAGUCAGAGCCUGAAAAAUUAAGGGAACCGGAAUGCAAGAAGGGGUUUAAAAAAAUGAGACCGAGGCAUGGUGUGCUUUCAGUCUUCCAUCAUUAUUAAACUCUCCUUGUUACAGGCAGGGUCUCUCUCUGAGCUUCGAGCUAGGCUAGUGAACAAUAAGCCACAGCAGUCCUCCUGUCACCAUUCCCCACAGUACUGGGGUUUCAGCAAGGGGAGCAACCAAUGCAACUGCAUAGAAUACAGACUGCAACCUAUAGCAGUGGUUUCAACCCUUCUGGUUACUACUCUGGUCACAACUACUCUGAAAGAGUCUUUGGAGGUCAAAUGACCCUUUCAUAGGGGUCACAUAUUGGAUAUUCCACAUAUCAGAGUUAGGAAAGGGGAACUAAGAAGUUUUUUGACCUAGUGCCAUCAACAUUUUACAAAAGAAAGAG